AUUGAACGCUGGCGGCAGGCCUAACACAUGCAAGUCGAGCGAGCGGCGGACGGGUGAGUAAUGUAUGGGGACUGCCCGUUAGAGGGGGAUAAUCACUGGAAACGGUAGCUAAUACCGUAUACUAUCCGAUUACCUAUUUGGGAUUAGCUGGUAGGUGAGGUAAUGGCUCACCUAGGCGACGAUCCCUAGCUGGUCUGAGAGGAUGAUCAGCCACACUGGGACUGAGCCACGGCCCAGACUCCUGCGGAGGCAGCAGUGGGGAAUAUUGCGCAAUGGGCACAAGCCUGAUGCAGCCAUGCCGCGUGUAUGAAGAAGGCCCUCGGGUUGUAAAGUACUUUCAGUCGGGAGGCGUUACCGACAGAGGAAGCACCGGCUAACUCCGUGCCAGCAGCCGCGGUAAUUC
Molecule: ribosomal RNA, 403 nt
Filed under: uncultured bacterium
Lineage: Bacteria
Description: partial 16S ribosomal RNA
Rfam family: Bacterial small subunit ribosomal RNA
Source: RNAcentral